This 468-nucleotide ribosomal RNA is filed under the name uncultured bacterium. RNAcentral describes it as "partial 16S ribosomal RNA". It matches the Rfam family "Bacterial small subunit ribosomal RNA", at positions 28 to 507 of the family's 1533-position model. The record is from RNAcentral.
GACGAACGCUGGCGGCGUGCUUAACACAUGCAAGUCGAACGGAAAGGCCCUGCUUUUGUGGGGUGCUCGAGUGGCGAACGGGUGAGUAACACGUGAGUAACCUGCCCUUGACUUUGGGAUAACUUCAGGAAACUGGGGCUAAUACCGGAUAGGAGCUCCUGCUGCAUGGUUGGGGUUGGAAAGUUUCGGCGGUUGGGGAUGGACUCGCGGCUUAUCAGCUUGUUGGUGGGGUAGUGGCUUACCAAGGCUUUGACGGGUAGCCGGCCUGAGAGGGUGACCGGCCACAUUGGGACUGAGAUACGGCCAAGACUCCUACGGGAGGCAGCAGUGAGGAAUAGUGCAAAAUGGGCGGAAGCCGGAUGCAGCAACGCCGCGUGCGGGAUGACGGCCUGCGGGUUGUAAACCGCUUUCGCCUGUGAAGAAGAGUGAGUGACGGUAAUGGGUAAAGAAGCACCGGCUAACUACGUG